CAUCAUUGAUUUAGAUAAUUUUUUAAAAUACCAAUCCACUAAGAUUUAUUGAGAAAACAUCAAGAAAGAAUAAUAAUAAUCAUUUUACCUUUACUUAAAUGGUCCUGAAGUCCAAGUUGGCAAGUAAAUGCCUGUUCUCCAUAAACAAGAAAAAACCCAAACCCCAACUCACAAUAAAAAUGAAAGGAAAGGUAAGCCAAGAAACUUCAAAUACAUGCUAUUAUACAAUCUUUUAAAAUCCCAAUGACCAUCUGAUACAAGGUUUUCUUUACAAUCAAUCAAGUCCAAUAUAGAUAACAGCAAUAAACUUGCUGCCAGUACCACGCAGGAUAAGCCCCAACAAAUGAAUUUGACGGACGGAAUUUCAAGGCCAAGCUAAUAUAUACUAACUGAAGACGCGAUAAUGCAAUAAUAAGAGUACAUGGCUCUUAUAUAACAGAAUUUGCAAUAUUACAGAAUGGAGGCCUCCAAAAUUUAGCUUUCAUCACUAGAGGGCUCAAAGGUGCCCCUUAAGUAGCCCAUGUAAAGUCAAAUACAUAACUAGAAGAUGCACUUCCUUUGCUGUAUUUUGGUAUGGUCGUCAUGGUUUUUUACACGUCCAGGUUCAACAUACUUUUAAAAAUCUUUUCAGUUGCAUGGCGCUAAUGAAGGAAUUGACCAAAAACAAUGGAAUCCAACAAACUGAUUCUUGCAUAUUGGGGGCUUGUCGAACAGAAACCUCUGUAUAUAACAUAGAAUCCUACAUAACAAAAAAAAAAAACACAUAAGAAUUGGAGUAAAAAGAGCAUUAUCCUUGUUGCCUACAACAAUGAAAACAUUCCUAGAUCCUCUAGCCUAGCCUUGUGAAAGCCAACAAGAAACCUGUUUCAAACCACAACCCCUACUCCCAAUUGUGUGACCCGGAACGGAAGGACAUGUAUUAUAACAUAUAUAAAAAUAAAAGUGUCACAACAAUAGGAUUUAAAGAAGUAAGUUAGAAGGGCCACGGCAUCCAUCCUGAUAUAAAGCAUAUGGGAUGUCUCAAUAAUCAGAUUCAUGUUAAGAAGCAGUAAACCUUACUUUGACUCUAACUGUAUGAGGAAUUAGGUAUCUAUAACUAUUCAUUCCAAAUUUGGCUAAUAACCACCUGACAUAUCACAUGGGCUUUUGUUUUACAGUGACAAGGCCCUCUACAUUGCGUCAUUUCUUGAACACAAACUUUCAUCUUGCUUCCAGGAUGAUGAGCGAAAAUGUUCAUAUCAGUGGCACUGUUCAAUCUACAUGGUGGUGCUCAUGCUUUGGGGAUUGCCUGUCAUUGACAACUAAAUACUCUUUGUACAGCAAAGAGUGAUUUCGGAAUGUUUUCCACUGUCUAACCUUUUUUCGUGUAUAGAGAUAGUAACCUCUUAACUAAGCAGCAUUCAAUCUAGCAUUGGCCUUGAGAUCCUCUCAGGAAUUUUUACAAUGCACGUCUUCUGCAUUUUUUCUGACCCCCCACCCCCCUCUUUGUGGAGAAGGCUCUUAGACCGCUCCAAGGUUGCAACUCCUCUUCUUUCUGGUAAUAUAGUAUUAGCCGGUCCCCUAAAUAGAUAUUUAGAGGCUUCUUUCAUUCGAAGACAAUCUAUUCUUAGCAAGACUGAUGGGCUAAAGGAAAUUAAAAAAUGACUUCUGAGAUAAGCAUUAAAUGUUAACCGAUCGUAUAGAAAUGGAACAUAAAAUAAGGAUCUUAGAAGUAAGCACAGAACUUUGAUAAAUUGUGUCCAUGCAACAAAGAUCACAACUACAAAGUGGAAUUGAAAGUUGCAUGAAAGGAAAGAUAAUUGAUUGAAAUAGAAAUUAAAAUUGACAUAAAAUUGAACUGCCAAAACCAAUCCGACGCCCACGUACAACUUUUUCCCCCUUUUCAUCAAGUAGUGGCUCUUAUCCCUCGAUUGGAAUGGCAUAGCAAUGUGUCCCAGUUCAAGACCUAAGAAUCGAGGCACUGACAGGACAUGGACAACGGAUUCACAAAAAAAAACAAUUUUUAUAAUAUAUUAUUAUGCCUGAAAAAUAUAAUGGAAUUAUUAUUAAUUUUAUUAAUAAAAGAUUAAUAAGAAAGUAAGAGGAGAGAGAUAAACAAACAAAACACGGCGAUAUACACAGCAGCUUCUCAAACUCUCUCUCUCACCAAGAGAAGACACACACCCCCAAGGCCCAACAGACUGACUGUUACAGAAUAAAAAAGAGAAAAAACAUUCUUAAUAGGCAAAGAUAGUUAAAAUACGGAGAUAGGGUAGAGAACUCACCGGAAAAGGAGCCGAAGAAGGUCGUGACUCGUGAGAGGUCAAUGGAGGUUCACCUGAGAUCAAUCGGCUCGCUGGAGGUUCGACGGAGAUCUAUGGAGGUUCGACGGAGAUCGCUGGGCUUGCUGGAGG
This 2393-nucleotide long non-coding RNA is filed under the name Actinidia chinensis (golden kiwifruit). RNAcentral describes it as "long non-coding RNA (ACHI_LNC001386)". Lineage: Eukaryota; Viridiplantae; Streptophyta; Magnoliopsida; Ericales; Actinidiaceae. The record is from RNAcentral.